This is a long non-coding RNA of Centrocercus urophasianus (Greater sage-grouse), 1170 nucleotides long. RefSeq lists it as uncharacterized. The transcript is spliced from 2 exons. The record is from RefSeq and is a predicted model, not a curated record. Lineage: Eukaryota; Metazoa; Chordata; Aves; Galliformes; Phasianidae.
UUGGCACAGUUGGGUUCGGCGCGGGUAGGAGCGGCUCGGCUCGGUUCGGCACCGCGCGGGGCUCAGCUCAGCUCAGCUCGGCACGGGUCAUUUCGGUUCAGUGCGCUCCAGCUCGCUCCAGCACGGUUCGGUUCGGUUCUGCUCCAGUUCGGUUCAGUUCGGUUCAGUUCGGUUCCGUUUGGUUCCGUUCAAGUUGGCUCGGUUCAGCUCAGCGUGGCACGGUUCGGUUCGGUUGGGUUCAGCCCAGCUCAGUGCCCGCGGCACCGGUGCCACUGUGCCCACCCCGGGGCUCGGUUCCCAGGCCGAGCACCCUAGAGGAAGAUGCCACCGGGCACAGCCCCACAGCUCCAUGGCCGGGCUGGGGGUCUCCAUCCCCUCCCACAGGCACACAGGCGUGCAGUGCUACCAGAGCCACCCCAUGGGACCGGACCCCAAGCAGGCUUUAAUAUUCCACCAGCCCUCUGUGCUCAGUGACCCUGCGACGGAGCAUCGCUGCUCCAUCUGCCAGGCUCUGCUCCCAAAAGCUUUGCUGUCGGAUGGAAGAUGCCUGCGCCGUCCUUCGCCGUAGAACCACGUGGUAUGGAUGCAACCCCCUUGGUCCCAUCGGAAAAAACAGAUUUCAUCAGCUACAGGAGGCUUGGCGGGAGGGCAGUGGCCAACAAACAGGCUGGGGUGGUUUUUCUGGGGUGUGGUGGUGGUGGUGGGACCCGGUUGGGUUUGCAGCCUGGCUCUUCCCGGCCGGGGAAUGUGGGGAAUGCUGGCCAGGUAGAGGAGGAGGGAUGUGCCCAACGCAUCUCCCAUCUUGGGAUGUGGUUUGUGGGGUCCUUAGGGUCCUUCCCAGCAGCAAACUUCAAAGCAGCAUGCGUAGGAACCUCAAUUUCACUAGGCUUGGAAGCACCUCACUAAAGAAAGUUAUUUUUCCAAGGGCAGAAUAGUAAUUUUUGACCAGUUCUCUCUCAUUUGGCUGGAUCAGAGAUGGCUCUCUACAAGAAAUAUGGCACUACUUGAGGUCUUCAGCUGCUUUCAGCACCCCAGGUUGCUUGGAGGCUCUCCUGCUUGGAUGCCAAGUAAUGUCCAAAGUGCAUGCAGGUCUGAAUCUGUGGGAGAAGGGGUCACCCAACCAUCCGUAAGGUCCCUCCUUCUGUAAUUUGAUGAUUUACCCACAAAGCA